RNAcentral lists this small nuclear RNA (107 nucleotides) under Seriola dumerili (greater amberjack). Lineage: Eukaryota; Metazoa; Chordata; Actinopteri; Carangiformes; Carangidae. The record is from RNAcentral.
GUGCUUGCUCAGGCAGCACAUAUGAAAAAUUGGAAUCGAUACAGAGAAGAUUAGCAUGGCCCCUGCGAAAGGAUGACACGCAAUUUCGUGAAGCGUUUCCACAUUUU